Dermacentor silvarum is the source of this 457-nucleotide long non-coding RNA. RefSeq lists it as uncharacterized. The transcript is spliced from 3 exons. Lineage: Eukaryota; Metazoa; Arthropoda; Arachnida; Ixodida; Ixodidae. The record is from RefSeq and is a predicted model, not a curated record.
UUCCGGCAUUCUACAACCCCAACAAAAACAUCUUUUUUCCUCAUUUGAACGUUGAGGUCAGCGUGGGAGGCUACGUACUUUGGUAUGGAGCGUGGCUUCCGGGGAUAGACGUUGCAGCACAAAACAACCAUGGAACACGCUUAGCUGGUGCAGUGCAGAGUCCUCAGUUUGGCGAGUUGACGUUGCUGCUCAAAUUCUACAAGGACGGCUGUAUCUUGUCGAAUGCCGACGACACAACGAAUAUACCAAGACUGUCGGCUUCUUUCAAAAGCAUCAGCUUGGAUGAACUCUACGUCAAGCCCGAUCCGGUGUCUUUCUACGAGUUUAAAGCUGUGACGGGGUAUAUAAAUUACUAGCAGCCUACUUCUCGGAGAACCGCAACAGCACCAGACAGUAGCGGCUGGCCGAAUCAAGAUAUUCCGUUGCUUCAAUGACGACAUCACCUGUGCUUCCUUUG